ACAUUAUAAUGAAAAUAAGAAUGAGAAAUAGAGCCGUUAUGAGCCCCACAUCAGAGAUAGAAAUUCAGAGCCUGUUUGGGCCCGAUUUUUUUACCCAAAAAAUUGAUUUUAUGAUCGUUAUUUUACUAUUUCAAUCGUCAUAUUAGACUUUUUCUCUCACAGGUGGACCCCACUUUUCUCCUAACAGUCAAAAAAUCAAUUCCCAAAAUCACUUCUAAACAUGCUCUCAAAAAUUGUGACUUGAUAUGAUGGAUAACAGUCAUAUUUUUCAUUUUAAUGAGAUAAAAAUGGGGCUCAAACAGGGACUUAAUUGAACAUAUAAAAGGUAACUAUUUAAACUGGUACUUUAGCACGAUUGGUAC
This 362-nucleotide long non-coding RNA is filed under the name Olea europaea (common olive). Its description in RNAcentral is "long non-coding RNA (OEUR_LNC014754)". Lineage: Eukaryota; Viridiplantae; Streptophyta; Magnoliopsida; Lamiales; Oleaceae. The record is from RNAcentral.